GAAUAUGAGUUUUCUUUUCCUAUCAUUUCAUGACUGAUUGAAAGACUGCCUUAGGCACUCUUAACUAGGUUUCUGUUCUUCUUUUGAGCUCAGGCUCCUGAAUUAGUCACAAUGUGGCUCAGGGAUGUACAGGGGGCACAGACUGUGGGAGGUCCUAGAACUCACACAGAAGGGUCUGAACUUGACCCAAGAGACAUACCCCAAGGCGUGAGAGCUCCUGAAACAGGACAGGGUUUUAUGCAAGCUGUGUUUCAUAGUGAUCAUCUUUAUCUAUGUAAAUUCACAUUGUGGAUAAUUGUUCCUCUGAGAGACCAACUGGAAAGAUUGUAAGAAUUUCAGUAAAUAUCGAAGCCCUAAGCCAAGAUGGAGCUGGGGGAAAACAGCAACAUGUUGAGACAAUCUAAAGGGAAGAAACCAAAAUGUUAUAGGCGUUUGAUUUUGAAAAAGAAGCAGGAGGCACUUCUGGCCCCUAGUCUCAUCUCUAGGAAAAGUUGUGUUAGACCCAAUCCAGGCUAAUUACUUGUUCUCUCCUAAUGGUGAAAAGUGUAUGGAAAGAAGGGCACACAAAGUCCUUUUCAGAAACUGAAGGCAUCGUAUUAUUAGUCAAAUCCCCUUUGAUUAAAAGAAGGACAUGCUCUUUGUCCUCAAUGGGGGAUGAACACUGAACAUGUACAAACUAGCAGAAAGGAGGUCUUUACUGAUUUAUUGUCCAAACAAGUCCUGAAAAAGACUGAGAGGGCAGUCAGCACUUUGAACUAAGUGCUGGGAAAAUGGCCUUGGCCUUUUCUUCCUGAAAAUGUACCACUCGACCUUGACUGCCAGGUUGUACGACACAAGAAAGCACAGACACUGAAGAGAGAGGCUCCCUUGGAGCCUAAAGUCCAUGACUGUGACCAUUCACUUGCAUGUCCAGAAACGGUGCCUCUGUGAGUGCAGAGCCAGCUGCUGUUCACAGCACUCAGUGCAGUCCUGCCUUGCUGCAGGUCAGCCAACGUAUGCGAAGGAUGCUGUGUGAGGACCCUGGGGGAGGGGGGAGUCUCUGAUAUCACUUGAGGGACCCUAUACCACACCAAGGUCCACACAGCAUCUUGUGAGCAGAAAUGAGGAAAGAGGAGAGACUUCAAUGGGCUGCAGAGGUCAGCACAAACAUGCAAAGCAGAAGCAUAUUUGUCUUUUUUCUUAUCAUCAAAUCUCUUUGAAGUGUAAAGGUAACAUUAAAAUUCUUAAAAGGUUCUGGUCAUAAUAAACAGUGCUAUUUUUAAACUGAGAUUUGCAUUACCAUGUAUUUGCAGUUAUAGUGUUGUUUUAAAAUUGUAUCAUAAUGGGAGUUCCCCUCCUGGCUCAGUGGUUAAUGAAUCCACUAGGAACCAUGAGGUUGUGGGUUCCGUCCCUGGCCUUGCUCAGUGGGUUGAGGAUCCGGUGUUGCCAUGAGCUGUGGUGUAGGCUCGGAUCCUGUGUUGCUGUGGCUCUGGUGUAGGCCAGCGGCUACAGCUCCAAUUUGACCCCUAGCCUGGGAACCUCCAUAAAGAUAGCAGAGGAGGAAGCACCAGGAAUUGGUCUCCCCAACUAGGAAACACACUGGCAGAAUCUGUCUAAUGCUACUAACUAGGAACUCUUGGAGUCUAUUGAAGGCUUGCAACAUCUAGAGGAAGACUCCCACAAUACAUUGUGGUUAAUUUGGGUCAAUUUCAGCUCCUAACACAGUAGCAAGUACCAAUCUCCUAUUCCCCUGCUCAGGGUACACAGCAGUUUACAUGCUUUCUGAACAGUUUGAACGCAGCUUGCAGGAGCCAUGGUGGGCAAAAAGGACCCUGUUCUCCAAAUAUUGGAACUCUCUGCUCUGAUCACUGAUUGCUCUUCUGAUCACAGAGUGCAGACAAAGAGACAGUGACCGUGGUUGUUGCCCCUCACCUCAUGGUUGAAAGCCCCUCUCUCUCUGGAUGAACUGACAUCCAUGCGAUUUAGAGGGAUGGUGCCUUUUCCUCCUCUUUGUUUUACUCUUUCCCCCUUUGGGGAGACAGACAUUGAAGACUAGGAUAGGAAAAAGCAAUUACAUAUAUGAGGAAAAUACGAAAGUCACUACACAACCCCAAGAUAAGGUAUGGACUCAGAAAAGACUUGAAGAGACCUUAUAUUUACC
This 2140-nucleotide long non-coding RNA is filed under the name Sus scrofa (pig). RNAcentral's name for it is "lncRNA (ENSSSCG00000055033.1)". The record is from RNAcentral. Lineage: Eukaryota; Metazoa; Chordata; Mammalia; Artiodactyla; Suidae.